ACGUGGGUCGAGCAAAUCUUGCUCGGCUCAUCCCACUUUGAUGUUAAUGCUGUUAGACUUAGCAAGUUUGAAUGAUUACCAUGCCUGAUUAGAUGAAUGAAGCAAAGUUGUAGAUUCAUGAAUUUAGUAUCAACUUCACCUAGGAAUCACACAAAUAGGGAAUUGUGGUAUUCUUUGUACCCCCACGAGACGAGCUGAAGCCACGUUGAAGCCCAAGUGUGCACCACAUGGGACAGUCAAAGUCAGAUCCAGAGACAAGUGCUACUUGCUGGGGGAGACCAACAAGAAACUAAAUACAGAACGGUUUAUAACAAACCCCCGUACUUGAAAAGCAAAACCAGUUUUGCUAUUGGGCAAACGACUGAAAUCUAUGAAUCCUUACGCAGUAAUACGCUCGAUGCUGUAGCCGUUUGAUCUGUUCUUUGAUUCAGCGGAUCUCCCCUUUUUUUGGGGAAAGCUCUGUUGUGCAGAAAGUUAAAUGGCCCACUCCCUCAUCUAAUGGAAAUAAAAUGCUACGAGUUGGUUACCUCAAAUCAGGCAGAGCAUGUGCUUGCGCAAGUGGACUGAUUGUUCUAGAUCGUAUCGUCAGAAUUAUUGGUAGGUGGUACCAUCUGAUCACUAGUAGGAGCAUAAUGAUUGGUGGAAAGCAGAGUAUCUGCAUGUAACAUUGUAAAUCCUACAAAAAAAAAAAUUGAAAAUUUUCAACGUGACAAUGCUAGCUAAGCAUAAUGUGACCAUCGGUAAGCGACGUCCAGCUUUCCUCCUGUCUAUUUUAUUGGCUCAUGUCACAGGCUCAUACAGUCUAGCUAGUAGCUAGCUGUCUUCGUACGCCAUCGCGGCCAAGUCAGACCAAACUUCACACAACAAGACACUAGGCAUCUGGCAGCUGGGAACAAAUAUAUGCACACACAUCCGAUCCAUACAUGUGCAAAAGGAACCUUGGAGCUCUAGCAUGUUUUCGGCAGCUGCACUCCCUUCCUUUGUCGAUACAGUCGCUGCACUCCCCUCCUCCGUAUCAACGGCUACCAUGUCAGUCUCCUGUAUCAACAUCUAGACAUACCACAUCUCACAGUGAGUCCUUUAUCUAUUUCACCCAUUUAGAGAUGCAAGUGAGUAUCCAACAGUAGUUUGGAUCACCAUUUUAGUUCGUUUAUUUUUCUCAACUUAAAUAAGUAUAUGUACAUCUUUAAUUUAAAUGAGUAAGUUCUGGAUGAUCCAAUGAAAAAAAAAAACUAAACUUGCAUCCCUACACCCACCGCUACACACAUUUGUCUUUGUCAUGUCACUAGUGCCACCCAUCGCUGGGAAUCGAGCCAGCUGCACUGGAAGCGCCAUCGUUGCCUCGCCCUCAACCUAUGCCAUCGAAUAUGGUUGAUCAAGUGUAACUUUUUUUUUAGAUGACCUCUAAAGCUACUUGCGACCAGCAUCUAUCUGCAUUAUUUGAUAAGCCAAAAAUAUAAAACCAGGGCGCGAAGCAGACAGCCCAACGUUACCCUGGCCCACCUGCAGCUGCAGGUCGCCAUCGGGCCCACCUCCCGACACCUCAUAUCUACACGCCCAUC
Molecule: long non-coding RNA, 1562 nt
Organism: Phragmites australis (common reed)
Lineage: Eukaryota; Viridiplantae; Streptophyta; Magnoliopsida; Poales; Poaceae
Exons: 3
Source: RefSeq, a predicted model, not a curated record